RNAcentral lists this ribosomal RNA (305 nucleotides) under uncultured bacterium. Its description in RNAcentral is "bacterial SSU rRNA". It matches the Rfam family "Bacterial small subunit ribosomal RNA", at positions 333 to 638 of the family's 1533-position model. The record is from RNAcentral.
AAGGGCCUACGGGGGGCAGCAGUGGGGAAUAUUGCACAAUGGGGGAAACCCUGAUGCAGCGACGCCGCGUGAGUGAAGAAGUAUUUCGGUAUGUAAAGCUCUAUCAGCAGGGAAGAAACCCACCCUUUGGGGUGGCUGACGGUACCUGACUAAGAAGCCCCGGCUAACUACGUGCCAGCAGCCGCGGUAAUACGUAGGGGGCAAGCGUUAUCCGGAUUUACUGGGUGUAAAGGGCGUGUAGGCGGAUGUGCAAGUCAGUCGUGAAAUACCGGGGCUCAACCCCGGGGCUGCGAUUGAAACUGCAC